This 583-nucleotide ribosomal RNA is filed under the name uncultured Gammaproteobacteria bacterium. RNAcentral's name for it is "bacterial SSU rRNA". It matches the Rfam family "Bacterial small subunit ribosomal RNA", at positions 346 to 920 of the family's 1533-position model. Lineage: Bacteria; Pseudomonadati; Pseudomonadota; Gammaproteobacteria. The record is from RNAcentral.
AGGCAGCAGUGGGGAAUAUUGGACAAUGGGGGCAACCCUGAUCCAGCCAUGCCGCGUGUGUGAAGAAGGCCUUCGGGUUGUAAAGCACUUUAAGCGAGGAGGAAGGUCUUUGAACUAAUAUUUCAAAGAAUUGACGUUACUCGCAGAAUAAGCACCGGCUAACUCUGUGCCAGCAGCCGCGGUAAUACAGAGGGUGCAAGCGUUAAUCGGAAUUACUGGGCGUAAAGCGCGCGUAGGCGGUAUGUUAAGUCGGAUGUGAAAUCCCCUGGGCUCAACCUAGGCAUUGCAUCCGAUACUGGCACACUAGAGUGUGGGAGAGGAAGGUAGAAUUCCAGGUGUAGCGGUGAAAUGCGUAGAGAUCUGGAGGAAUACCGAUGGCGAAGGCAGCCUUCUGGCCUAACACUGACGCUGAGGUGCGAAAGCAUGGGGAGCAAACAGGAUUAGAUACCCUGGUAGUCCACGCCGUAAACGAUGUCUGCUAGCCGUUGGGGGGCUUGUCCCUUCAGUGGCGGAGCUAACGCGAUAAGCAGACCGCCUGGGGAGUACGGCCGCAAGGUUAAAACUCAAAUGAAUUGACGGGGGC